This 260-nucleotide unclassified non-coding RNA is filed under the name Alchemilla alpina. RNAcentral's name for it is "partial external transcribed spacer". The record is from RNAcentral. Lineage: Eukaryota; Viridiplantae; Streptophyta; Magnoliopsida; Rosales; Rosaceae.
GCCUCUCGUUGACCCUUUCCUUCCUUGACCCAUGUGGCCAAGGAGGACUUUGUAACGGCGCCUGUGCACCUCGCAUUGUUCUUCUUUGAGCAUUGCGACGGUAUUUAGGUUGCUGUUUGUUGCCUUGGAUACAGUACAUUCGGUGGGCUUGGGGGAAUCUUACCCUUGUUGUCCGAAAUUCCAAGCGUUUCGAUGCUAGAGAAGCACGACUGCCNUGCUUGUUUCGGGCUAUUCCGUGCGGGCUUGGCGUCGGCAAARGG